CCUACGGGUGGCUGCAGUGGGGGAUAUUGCACAAUGGAGGAAACUCUGAUGCGGCAACGCCGCGUGAGUGAAGAAGGUCUUCGGAUUGUAAACCUCUGUCUUCAGGGACGAUAAUGACGGUACCUGGGGAGGAAGCUCCGGCUAAUUACGUGCCAGCAGCCGCGGUAAUACGUAGGGAGCAAGCGUUGUCCGGAUUUACUGGGUGUAAAGGGUGCGUAGGCGGCCUUGCAAGUCAGGUGUGAAAACUAUGGGCUUAACUCAUAGAUUGCAAUUGAAACUGUGGGGUUUGCGUGAAGUAGAGGCAGGCAGAAUUCCCGGUGUAGCGGUGAAAUGCGUAGAAAUCGGGAAGAACACCAGUGGCAAAGGCGGCCUGCUGAGCUUUAACUCACGCCGAGGCACGAAAGCGUGGGUAGCAAACAGGAUUAGAUACCCGAGUAGUC
RNAcentral lists this ribosomal RNA (440 nucleotides) under uncultured bacterium. RNAcentral's name for it is "bacterial SSU rRNA". It matches the Rfam family "Bacterial small subunit ribosomal RNA", at positions 338 to 795 of the family's 1533-position model. The record is from RNAcentral.